This 441-nucleotide ribosomal RNA is filed under the name uncultured bacterium. RNAcentral's name for it is "partial 16S ribosomal RNA". It matches the Rfam family "Bacterial small subunit ribosomal RNA", at positions 338 to 795 of the family's 1533-position model. The record is from RNAcentral.
CCUACGGGAGGCUGCAGUGGGGAAUAUUGGGCAAUGGGCGCAAGCCUGACCCAGCAACGCCGCGUGAAGGAUGAAGGUUUUCGGAUUGUAAACUUCUGUCGCGAGGGACGAAGAAUGACGGUACCUCGUAAGAAAGCCCCGGCUAACUACGUGCCAGCAGCCGCGGUAAUACGUAGGGGGCAAGCGUUGUCCGGAAUGACUGGGCGUAAAGGGAGUGUAGGCGGUGAUGCAAGUCUGGAGUGAAAGGCGGGGGCCCAACCCCCGGACUGCUCUGGAAACUGUGUAACUUGAGUGCAGGAGAGGUAAGCGGAAUUCCUAGUGUAGCGGUGAAAUGCGUAGAUAUUAGGAGGAACACCAGUGGCGAAGGCGGCUUACUGGACUGUAACUGACGUUGAGGCUCGAAAGCGUGGGGAGCAAACAGGAUUAGAUACCCCAGUAGUC